UUCUUCUUCUUUCUUUCUGUUAUCUUUCUCUCACUUUUCUUCUCAUGUUUUUCCUUCUCAGUCGAAUUCGAGAGAUUAAACGGAAGUUUUAUGAUCGAUAGGAGGUGUAGAAGAUUAUACAAUAGUUGGUGGUGAUGGUGAUGGUGUUUGUUGCUGAUUUAGACUCGAAGGAGGAAGUGAAAUUAAGAAUUAGGUUUUCUUAAUAAGUUCUGUGAAGAUGUAGAUGGUGAAAUUGAGUAAUUAAGGAGAAGAUUAGAGAUGGGUUGUGUUGACAUGAAGAUUUAGACUGAGUAUUAGGGUUCGAGUUAAAGAAUAAGAGAUUGGAAAGUUAGGGUUCUUAAAUUAGUUGAGGUUUUGUGUGAAAUCAAGAUGGAUGUAAGCAAUUGAAGAUGGGUUUGUUUAGAAUGAAGUAGAAUCAAGUAUAUGGAGUUGUAAUUUCAGUUUAAUUAUGACAUUGAGAACUAUAAAUUAGGGUUGUUCUUGUUCUUCCCCAAGUCAGAAAUUAGGGUUACAAGAAAUAUAUAAUAAGAAUUAGAAGAUGGAAUUGAUGUAAAGGGGAUUGAAUUAAUAAUGGGUUUGUUCUUAAUUGAAGUAUUGAUUGGAUGAAUCGGGGUUAAUAGGAUGUUUUGGGGCUGUGUUAGAGGUGAAUCGAAGAAUUAGGUCUUUGGUGGAAUUGAUUCGGCGUAUUAGCAAAGUCAGAGGAAGCUAACAGUUUGGUAAGUCUCCGAUAUGUCUUAAUUAUAGUAACAUGAGUUGAAUUGUUUUGAUUUCACAGUUUGUACAAUUAUGGAUUGAACUGAGGUUGAUGUUGGAGUUGUAGUUAGUGGAUUUUUAGGGACUGAGCUAUUCUUACCGCUGAAGGAUGAGUUUGGUUUGGAGAUUGUUAUGGUUUAUUAUUAGAGUUGAUCUGAGUUCGGUUGAGCAUCGAUGAGUGUGAUGUUAGACUUGUUCAGCUAAUGGUGGUGGUGAAGUUAUAGACAGUUGAGUUGUUAUAAGUUCAAGUUGGGUCUGGAGAGGAAAUGAAUGGAACUGUCAGUGGCAGGGAAGAGUUGAGCUGUAGUGAAGUCAUAAUGGUUAUGAUUGAUCCAGUUGAAUGAGAUGUUUUGUGUCUGAAUGUUGAAGUGAUAAUGGUGUUACUGUUGGGAUUCAAGUUGAAUGCGCAGAGGGUAGAGAGUGAAUGUGUUGGUUGAGUUGGCAGUAUUAGCUGUAUCAGCUGGUACAAAUGGAAUUGGUUGGCAGAUCAGUUAAGGUUUAGAUGAAUGGAAUGAACUGGAUUUGAGAUUGAUGUUCCUUAGAGCUGGUAAUGCUGAAAUCAGGUUAUGUGAAGUUGAGUUGGUAGUUGUAAAAAGAGAGAAAGCUUGGAACUGCAAUUUGCAGGUAAUCUGUACUAGUGUUUGUAAUUAGUUUUGAAGUUGUUUGAAUAAAUGAAAUGUUUAGAUGAAUGGAAUGAACUGGAUUUGAGAUUGAUGUUCCUUAGAGAUGGUAAUGCUGAAAUCAGGUUAUGUGAAGUUGAGUUGGUAGUUGUAAAAAGAGAGAAAGCUUGGAACUGCAAUUUGCAGGUAAUCUGUACUAGUGUUUGUAAUUAGUUUUGAAGUUGUUUGAAUAAAUGAAAUGUUUAGUGAUUGUUAGA
Long non-coding RNA from Papaver somniferum (opium poppy), 1630 nucleotides. RefSeq lists it as uncharacterized. The record is from RefSeq and is a predicted model, not a curated record. The transcript has 2 exons. Lineage: Eukaryota; Viridiplantae; Streptophyta; Magnoliopsida; Ranunculales; Papaveraceae.